CAAAGCACUGACGUGUUUAUUAUCAACAGAAAAAAUUAUGACACAAGCGUUGCAUAGUCCUAACUGUAUUUGUCACAAUGGUAACUUAAACAUAAUGAAAUAUUUGUUUCUAAUAUAAUACAGUAACACACCAUGGACAGUAAGCAUGUUUCUGCUAUACAACACACGGCUGGCUCUCACAUGUCCUGUCGGCCAUUUUAAAAACAAGCCUACAUGACACUUGUCAGGAUUGAGUUACAUCCAUACACACACACACACGCACCCACAUACAUACCAUACACACAUAACAUAAAAACAGACAUACAGAAACAUGCACCCACAUCAAGGGGAGCAUGCUAUAUUACAUUAUACAUAUUAUACACAGCCAUCCCAGAAUCACCAAUACAAAACAGAGAAAUAAUGAACAAAAGAAAGAAAGAAAAAAAGGAAAGGGACCUACAAUAGAGAAGUGAGAGAAGCAAAAAAAAAUCAUCUUGUCACAGGAGAAGGCCACAGUAACACUGGAGUCUAAAUAUGAGUCCGCGCUUAGUAUCUUAUAGACCACAUAUAUACACGAAUGUAAGUCACAUCAUAGAAAACCUCUUAAAGCACUUUUUUUCAAGCCAGAUAGAAAGAAGAGUGAAGUAUUUACAGAGAGGGCUGGACUACAUCAUCUCAGUCCGGUGAGGGGAGGUGGGCUUGAAAGGGGCACGGGUUUCUCACAUGAUGACAGUCUCGGUGUGGGGCAGAUAGGAGCAGAAGGAUUGCUUCUUCAAGGCAGGGCUUGGGGUUCUUGCUACAGGGCUAGGGGUGUGAGCCAAGGGGCUUGGUGGGUGGGACACCGGGCUGGAGGGGGCAGAGAUCAAGGCUGUGGGGGUGCGGCAAGCCCACCUGGACGGAGGGCGUUGGUUGGCCGGCCGGGAAGGACGGGAAAAGUUCCUUGUGUGCGUUGCUAGGGAUGACUCAUCUGGCCUCAGCUGGAGAGAGAUGAGAGUGGGUCAGAUAAAGAGAGUCUGGGUGUGUGUGCUAUGCGGGUGUACGCGUGUUUGCUAUCUCACCUGCUGGUUGCCCUGGCUGUAGGCUGUCUGUGUGGUUCGGGGGCUGGAGCGAUACUCGUGCUCAAUGUCCAGCAUAUCCAGUAGCUCAAUGAGUCCACUCUGACCCACAACUGGCCCUCCCUUCCUGAUCAUCUGAGCACCAACAUGGGAUUCACUCAGGUUCCUGUACUCCACUCUGGGCUCGCCCUGGACUGUGUCUCCCUCGGCCCCUCCCUGGGCCCUUGCUUUGGGCUUGGGGCUGCCUCCUGCCAGGGUUCUUCUCUGACUCCCUGAAUGGGCUUCUUUAGGAUGAGAAUAGCUACCCAUUGAGGCAGCUUUGGCCUUACCCAGGUGGGUAUCUCUCCUGGAGUCUAUUUCCCCACCAGAUCCACCCUCCAUCUCAGCUGUCAGCACAAUGGAAUCCACCUGGCAUUUCCGGACAGGUACGUUCCCGGGCGCCCUGCUGCUGACCAGCCCUUUGCGCUGACAGAUGGGGGUGGGGCAUUUAUUGUCCGUAGGCGCCUGGUUGGUCACCACCCCGGUGUCGGUGAGGGUCUUGCCCUCGUUCUCCUGGAGCAUUGCGCCAAACUUCCGGAGGACUGAGGGGCUACCAGACUUCCUGUCCACAAGGAUCCCAGCAGCGUGGGACGUUCUGUCCAGGGCUGGGGCGGUCUCAGGAAGGGCCAUUUGGGAGGUAGAUCGGGGAGGGACAGGAGGGCCUUCUCUCUGUCUAAUGGGGGGCUUAGCCCCUGUGUUCUCCUUGUUAAGGUCCCUGCAGGGGGAACUCUUUCGGUGUGACACCCUGUUCUUUCUGUUCUCUGCCUCUUCAACCGCAAACCGCACCUGACCAAUCCU
Long non-coding RNA from Esox lucius (northern pike), 1871 nucleotides. The record is from Ensembl. NCBI's taxonomy places the organism in Eukaryota, Metazoa, Chordata, Actinopteri, Esociformes, Esocidae.